Molecule: ribosomal RNA, 333 nt
Filed under: uncultured eukaryote
Lineage: Eukaryota
Description: partial 18S ribosomal RNA
Rfam family: Eukaryotic small subunit ribosomal RNA
Source: RNAcentral
CCCUUAGAUGUUCUGGGCUGCACGCGCGCUACACUGAUGCGCUCAACGAGUUUUAACCUUGCCUGGAAAGGUUGGGUAAUCUUUUUAAAACGCAUCGUGAUGGGGAUAGAUUAUUGCAAUUAUUAAUCUUCAACGAGGAAUUCCUAGUAAGCGCGAGUCAUCAGCUCGCGCUGAUUACGUCCCUGCCCUUUGUACACACCGCCCGUCGCUACUACCGAUUGGAUGGUUUAGCGAGAACUUUGGACCGGAGCUCGGGUGGUCAGCAAUGGCCGCCCGAGACAUACUGGGAAAUCGCUCCAGCUUGAUCAUCUAGAGGAAGUAAAAGUCGUAACA